Molecule: ribosomal RNA, 800 nt
Filed under: uncultured bacterium
Lineage: Bacteria
Description: bacterial SSU rRNA
Rfam family: Bacterial small subunit ribosomal RNA
Source: RNAcentral
AGAGUUUGAUCCUGGCUCAGGAUGAACGCUAGCGGCAGGCCUAAUACAUGCAAGUCGAACGGUGUCUUCGGACAUAGUGGCGCACGGGUGCGUAACACGUAUGCAACCUACCUUACAUUGGGGGAUAGCCUUUCGAAAGGGAGAUUAAUACCGCAUAAGACAGUAACUAGGCAUCUAGUAGCUGUUAAAGAUUUAUCGAUGUAAGCUGGGCAUGCGUCCAAUUAGCUAGUUGGUGAGGUAACGGCUCACCAAGGCUAUGAUUGGUAGGGGAACUGAGAGGUCAAUCCCCCACACUGGCACUGAGAUACGGGCCAGACUCCUACGGGAGGCAGCAGUAGGGAAUAUUGGGCAAUGGACGCAAGUCUGACCCAGCCAUGCCGCGUGCAGGAUGAAGGCGUUAUGCGUUGUAAACUGCUUUUAUACAGGAAGAAACGACUCUUGCGAGAGGCAUUGACGGUACUGUAUGAAUAAGCACCGGCUAACUCCGUGCCAGCAGCCGCGGUAAUACGGAGGGUGCAAGCGUUGUCCGGAUUUAUUGGGUUUAAAGGGUGCGCAGGUGGUUUAUUAAGUCAGUGGUGAAAGACGGUCGCUCAACGAUUGCAGUGCCAUUGAAACUGGUAGACUUGAGUAAAGUAGAGGUGGGCGGAAUUGAUAGUGUAGCGGUGAAAUGCAUAGAUAUUAUCAAGAACUCCAAUUGCGUAGGCAGCUCACUUGGCUUUUACUGACACUCAUGCACGAAAGUGUGGGUAUCAAACAGGAUUAGAUACCCUGGUAGUCCACACUGUAAACGAUGAUAACUA